Molecule: unclassified non-coding RNA, 413 nt
Filed under: soil metagenome
Description: partial contains 5.8S ribosomal RNA, internal transcribed spacer 2, and large subunit ribosomal RNA
Rfam family: 5.8S ribosomal RNA (bases 1-120)
Source: RNAcentral
GAUGAAGAACGCAGCGAAAUGCGAUAAGUAAUGUGAAUUGCAGAAUUCAGUGAAUCAUCGAGUCUUUGAACGCACCUUGCGCUCUUUGGUAUUCCGAAGAGCAUGCCUGUUUGAGUGUCAUGAAAAUAUCAACCUUGACUUGGGUUUUGUGCUCUAGUCUCGGCUUGGAAUUGGGUGCUUGCCGCUUUUACGAGCGGCUCACCUUAAAUGUAUUAGCUGGAUCUGUCUUUGAGACUUGGUUUGACUUGGCGUAAUAAGUAUUUCGCUAAGGACAUUCUUCGGAGUGGCCUCGUUUCUAGGACGCUUGUCCGCUUUCCAAUACAAGUUCCACCUCGUGGACAUGACUUUUUAUUAUCUGGCCUCAAAUCAGGUAGGACUACCCGCUGAACUUAAGCAUAUCAAUAAGCGGAGGA